GAUGAACGCUGGCGGCGUGCCUAAUACAUGCAAGUCGAGCGAACGGACGAGAAGCUUGCUUCUCUGAUGUUAGCGGCGGACGGGUGAGUAACACGUGGAUAACCUACCUAUAAGACUGGGAUAACUUCGGGAAACCGGAGCUAAUACCGGAUGAUAUUUUGAACCGCAUGGUUCAAAAGUGAAAGACGGUCUUGCUGUCACUUAUAGAUGGAUCCGCGCUGCAUUAGCUAGUUGGUAAGGUAACGGCUUACCAAGGCAACCAUGCAUAGCCGACCUGAGAGGGUGAUCGGCCACACUGGAACUGAGACACGGUCCAGACUCCUACGGGAGGCAGCAGUAGGGAAUCUUCCGCAAUGGGCGAAAGCCUGACGGAGCAACGCCGCGUGAGUGAUGAAGGUCUUCGGAUCGUAAAACUCUGUUAUUAGGGAAGAACAUAUGUGUAAGUAACUGUGCACAUCUUGACGGUACCUAAUCAGAAAGCCACGGCUAACUACGUG
Molecule: ribosomal RNA, 497 nt
Filed under: uncultured bacterium
Lineage: Bacteria
Description: partial 16S ribosomal RNA
Rfam family: Bacterial small subunit ribosomal RNA
Source: RNAcentral